GACAAGCAGAGAACGCGCCUCACGCGCGGUAGCAUAGGGAACCCUAGGUUUUUCUAGGUUUCUCGCAGGCGGUGGCGGAGCUUCAGGGCAAAGCGGAUGUGCUUUUCCCGUUGAGGUGGUGGUCGGCUUUGAAGGCUGAGGCUGGUUGUUGUGGCUUCUAGUUUUGAGCAGUUCAAGGUUUUCUCUCAAAGAGACUUGUGGGCUUGACGAUCUCUAUUUCUUCUCCUGAUCAUCGCUGCUUGUAGGUGGCGAGGGUUGUGUACGGUGUCGCUCUAGAGGUGCAGUAGGAAAGGCGGAGGAACGGCGAGUCUUGGCUUCUUCAGGGGCGGCGUUCUUCAGGCUUGAUCUUAAGCACCUUGGGUUGGGCAGAGGCGUCAGAUUUUGAGGGCUGGUGUAGGUCGGAGUUCACCGUCUUCUUGGAUGAUGUGGUUCAAGCGGGGGAGACCGCCGUACUAAGUUGUCGGCGGCGGUAGCAUUGAUGGUCCAGUAUGGAGGCCGAUAUGCUUCUCUGGUGCAAACUGGCUGAGAAAGAGUGGGCAGAUCCUCUUGGGCCUGGGCCAUUUUCCCUCUUCUUUCUAAUUCAGUUUUGUUUUUUGGGCUAGAGACUCGGGUCCAAGUUUCUGUGAGCGGACUUAUAUCGUAACCUUAGUCCAAGGUUGUUCACUGUCUAACGGGUGUAGGGGUACACACCAUUAAAGUCUCUAGGCCCCGAGCUAAUCAUGACAGAUGCUGUGGAUUCAGGUUAUGACGAAUAAAGUAGUUUUUUGGUUGUUCCUUUUUCUGGACAUAUUUUGGUUUAGUUUUGAUUGUUCACCUUUUGGACUCUAUUUUUCGAGUAGGAUUUUAUUUUUUUGUAAUCCCUUAGGGUUUUUAUUUGACUAUUUGUAUAGUCAAUCGAGCAGUGGAUGUAAAUAGGGUCACCUGUGACCUUCAAGCUUGAUAUUGUAAAAUUGUAUAUUAGAAUAGACUAUUCUGCCCACGAGAGUAAUAUCCCUUUCCCUCAAGAAAAAAAAAAAAAUUUAGUCAUACGGUCUUAGUAUUAGGAAUGGCAAUGGGGCAGGUUGGGAAUGAAUAUCGCAAUACCAUCCCCAUCCCCGGAGUUAUUAUCCACCCCCCAUCUUCUCCUCAUGAAUCCUCAAUAAAAAUAAAACGGGGAUUCCCCGUCCCCGUCCCCAUUGGAGACUAGACAUCCAUCCCCGCCCCAAUCCCCAUUAAGAGUUCAAUAAAUAAAAUAAUUUUUUUUAUUGCAUUGUUUUUUUUAAAUCAAAAUCUGAAGGCAAUAAAAUUCAAAUAUAGAUAUAGAUGUAGAAAUUCAAGAGGCAAGAAGAGAACGGCAGGGUUGUGAUUUUGUUUAUGACGGUAGGGUUUAUAUGGUUGGUUUCAUAUUGUAAAAUUGUAGUCAUUAAAAUAAGAAAUUAAAUGUGUAUAUUUAUGAUCUAUAUUAAAAAGUUAUAUCAUUAUAAAUAGCAAAUUUCAUAGAAAUCUAAUUUCCAACAUUUUAU
RNAcentral lists this long non-coding RNA (1502 nucleotides) under Fragaria vesca (wild strawberry). RNAcentral describes it as "long non-coding RNA (FVES_LNC001290)". Lineage: Eukaryota; Viridiplantae; Streptophyta; Magnoliopsida; Rosales; Rosaceae. The record is from RNAcentral.